Melanotaenia boesemani (Boeseman's rainbowfish) is the source of this 1373-nucleotide long non-coding RNA. RefSeq lists it as uncharacterized. The record is from RefSeq and is a predicted model, not a curated record. The transcript is spliced from 2 exons. NCBI's taxonomy places the organism in Eukaryota, Metazoa, Chordata, Actinopteri, Atheriniformes, Melanotaeniidae.
CGAGAAUCGCAACAACAAAAAUCUUGAUUGGCUUGCUGUGCACCAGCAAAGACUGAAAGAAGCACAUACAAGAGCCAAACAGUAUGCAGAGCAAAAAGCAGCCGAACGCAUUGCUCAGCAUAGUCACAAAGUUUACUGUCCUUCAGUUGAAGUAGGAGAGUAUGUAUAUCUGAGACACAGACCGGCUGGUCGUAACAAAAUUCAGGAUGCAUGGAGUCCAGUUGUUUACCAAGUUGUUGACAUUGUAGGUACGACUUACACAGUACAACCUGCAGAUGGGGGACCUAUUAAGAGAGUGAAUAGGGUGGACAUCAGACCAUGUGUUAAUCCUCCUGACUUGACCCCUAGAAACACUGAAAAGACUGUAACAAAACCAACUGAGACUACUGAACCAGACACUGACUCAUGUGAUGAAGGUGAGGAAGCAGUAAUCAUUGAAGAGGUAUCUUUUCAUUUAAACCCUCGUCCAGAUGUUGAAAACUGCUAUGUUGAUGACUGUGUUCAGCUUCCAGAAGAUUCUCAGUUGAUUUCAGAAUGUGAACCCCCUGUGAUUGAACAGGCAGAGACUGAGCAUGUUGAGACUGAGACAUGUACUACUGACCAACCCUGUGAGGUACAGACACCUACUCCUUGUGUUAGAAAAGCUCCUAUACCUGCUCCCCGCAGGAGUAAACGUGUAAAUGCAGGGAAGCACCCAAAUCCACAUAAUGAACCCAGGUCAGUGUUGGAACCAGAACUAAGCUCUUCCAUGGUUUCACAGAUUAUUGCGAGCUUAGGUACUGUAUUUUUUAGAGAAGCUUUAAAAGAAGUUAAAAACAGUUACUUUGUCACCGAGGGCGUUGACGGUUAAGCAGGGGAGAAUGUAACCAGGUGGAAAAAGUGGGUACCUAUAACAAUAUUCAUUGUAAAUCCUGUUUUGCUUUUAUUUCACCUGUUGGUUGCAGUACUUGCUUUUGUCCAAAAGGUGGUGCUAUUCCCAUGUACAGAGGUCCAAAGUUUGAUUAUUGCUAAAUCCUCAUUUAUGUAUUCUCGCGUACUUUUGCACUGGGAAGACGUGAACUGUAGCCAUAUUGGACCGAGACUGGUUGGGAUGUGUUUGGCCACAUGAACAAAUGUUCGAGAAUCUCGAGGUGCCACUGCCGUGUUUUAUACAGUGUUUAUACCGUGUUUUGGACUGUGUUUUAUAUCGUGUCAUGAGUUUUCGAAAUCGUUGUAGUUCAAGUGCGUACAACGUUGUCAUUACGCCAUUUUGAGCGUUACAAGCAAAGCAAAAAAGAGAAUAUUUUAUUUUCAUAUUUUUGAACUUUAUUUUACAUUAUUCUAACUCGGAGGAAACGGUUCUUUUUGAGAAUAAAGAACCCACUAAAUUUGAA